CUAUCUGCAUAGGUUGAGGUUUGGGGUUCCAUAGCCAAUGUGUUUCUUGGUGUUCUCGGAGUAAAUGGUUUUUCAAAUAGCUGAUUUAAGUUUGUAUUCUUAUGUUGUUUUUCACUAACUUGUUUGCUCGUACCUGCAGCUGUAUUUAAACAAACAUUAUGGGUUUUAAGGUGUUUCCCAACGUCACCUUUUAGAUCUGGAUUUUUAAAGUCUUCCGAUCGACUUAGCUUCGCAUUUUUAUAGUCAUGCUCCUGACUUCUUAUUUGUUGUAGCUCU
RNAcentral lists this long non-coding RNA (276 nucleotides) under Solanum tuberosum (potato). RNAcentral's name for it is "long non-coding RNA (STUB_LNC000747)". Lineage: Eukaryota; Viridiplantae; Streptophyta; Magnoliopsida; Solanales; Solanaceae. The record is from RNAcentral.